AGUGAACGCUGGCGGUAGGCCUAACACAUGCAAGUCGAACGGCAGCACAGUAAGAGCUUGCUCUUACGGGUGGCGAGUGGCGGACGGGUGAGGAAUACAUCGGAAUCUACUUUUUCGUGGGGGAUAACGUAGGGAAACUUACGCUAAUACCGCAUACGACCUACGGGUGAAAGCAGGGGAUCUUCGGACCUUGCGCGAUUGAAUGAGCCGAUGUCGGAUUAGCUAGUUGGCGGGGUAAAGGCCCACCAAGGCGACGAUCCGUAGCUGGUCUGAGAGGAUGAACAGCCAACAUGGAACUGAGAACAGGCCCAGACCCCUACGGGGGGAAGGAGUGGGGAAAAUUGGACAAGGGGCGCAAGCCUGAUCCAGCCAUACCGGGUGGGGGAAGAAGGCCUUCGGGUUGUAAAGCCCUUUUGUUGGGAAAAAAAAGCAGCAGGUUAAUACCCCGUUUUUCUGACGGUCCCCAAAAAAUAAACACCGGCUAACUUCGU
Molecule: ribosomal RNA, 491 nt
Filed under: uncultured bacterium
Lineage: Bacteria
Description: partial 16S ribosomal RNA
Rfam family: Bacterial small subunit ribosomal RNA
Source: RNAcentral